This 409-nucleotide ribosomal RNA is filed under the name uncultured bacterium. RNAcentral describes it as "bacterial SSU rRNA". It matches the Rfam family "Bacterial small subunit ribosomal RNA", at positions 28 to 425 of the family's 1533-position model. The record is from RNAcentral.
GAUGAACGCUAGCUACAGGCUUAACACAUGCAAGUCGAGGGGCAGCAGGGAUUUAGCUUGCUAAAUUCGCUGGCGACCGGCGCACGGGUGCGUAACGCGUAUCCAACUUUCCCGUUACUCUCGGAUAGCCUUCCGAAAGGGAGAUUAAUACGAGAUGGUGUUCUAAUUCCGCAUGUUAUUAGAACUAAAGAUUCAUCGGUAACGGAUGGGGAUGCGUGACAUUAGAUAGUAGGCGGGGUAACGGCCCACCUAGUCUACGAUGUCUAGGGGUUCUGAGAGGAAGGUCCCCCANACUGGAACUGAGACACGGUCCAGACUCCUACGGGAGGCAGCAGUGAGGAAUAUUGGUCAAAUGGUCGGAAGACUGAACCAGCCAAGUGACGUGAAGGAUGAAAGGUUCUAUGGAUUG